UGGCAAUGCACAUACUUACUAGAUGUUAAA
Molecule: non-coding RNA, 30 nt
Filed under: Homo sapiens (human)
Lineage: Eukaryota; Metazoa; Chordata; Mammalia; Primates; Hominidae
Source: RNAcentral